This 437-nucleotide ribosomal RNA is filed under the name uncultured Glomus. RNAcentral's name for it is "SSU rRNA". It matches the Rfam family "Eukaryotic small subunit ribosomal RNA", at positions 569 to 1011 of the family's 1831-position model. The record is from RNAcentral. Lineage: Eukaryota; Fungi; Glomeromycota; Glomeromycetes; Glomerales; Glomeraceae.
AGCAGCCGCGGUAAUUCCAGCUCCAAUAGCGUAUAUUAAAGUUGUUGCAGUUAAAAAGCUCGUAGUUGAAUUUCGGGAUCAAUAUGCCGGUCAUGCCUUGGUAUGCACUGGUAUCUUUGAUUUCUCCCUUCUGACGAACUUUGAUGUCAUUAAUUUGGUGUCAUAGGGAAUCAGGACUGUUACUUUGACAAAAUUAGAGUGUUUAAAGCAGGCUCACGCUUGAAUACAUUAGCAUGGAAGAAUGAAAUAGGACGUUUGAUUCUAUUUUGUUGGUUUCUAGGAUCGACGUAAUGAUUAAUAGGGAUAGUUGGGGGCAUUAGUAUUCAAUUGUCAGAGGUGAAAUUCUUGGAUUUAUUGAAGACUAACUACUGCGAAAGCAUUUGCCAAGGAUGUUUUCAUUAAUCAAGAACGAAAGUUAGGGGAUCGAAGACGAUCAG